Cinara cedri is the source of this 228-nucleotide non-coding RNA. The record is from the annotation of a GenBank genome assembly. Lineage: Eukaryota; Metazoa; Arthropoda; Insecta; Hemiptera; Aphididae.
CAGCCGAUAAUUUUGAUAUAAAACUUAACCUACCAAUCGGUCGUCAAAGUGAAGUGAUUAUUGGCAAUCAAAAUAAAAAAAAAAAGAAGUGUGAGAGUAGAACGAGUGCGGUCACUGGUGUAGGUGGGAAGUUGGGAAGGUAGGAUACAGACGGGAGUAUAAUGUAUAUCUGUAAGCAACGAUAAACCAAUGCUUACGAAAAAACGAUUCUGAGCGGAGUUCAGUAGA